This 500-nucleotide ribosomal RNA is filed under the name uncultured Glomeromycotina. RNAcentral describes it as "partial small subunit ribosomal RNA". It matches the Rfam family "Eukaryotic small subunit ribosomal RNA", at positions 591 to 1092 of the family's 1831-position model. The record is from RNAcentral. Lineage: Eukaryota; Fungi; Glomeromycota.
CCAAUAGCGUAUAUUAAAGUUGUUGCAGUUAAAAAGCUCGUAGUUGAAUUUUGGGUCUGGCCGGGCGGUCCGCCCUCUGGGUGAGCACUGUUCCGACGCCGGGCCUAUCCUUCUGGUGAGUCGGCAUGUCCUUUGUUGGGUGUGUCGGGGAACCAGGACCAUUACCUUGAAAAAAUUAGAGUGUUCAGAGCAGGCGUAUGCUCGGAUACAUUAGCAUGGAAUAAUGAAAUAGGACGCGUGGUGGUAUUUUGUUGGUUUCUAGAACCGCCGUAAUGAUUAAUAGGGAUAGUUGGGGGCAUUAGUAUUCAAUUGUCAGAGGUGAAAUUCUUGGAUUUAUUGAAGACUAACUGCUGCGAAAGCAUUUGCCAAGGAUGUUUUCAUUAAUCAAGAACGAAAGUUAGGGGAUCGAAGACGAUCAGAUACCGUCGUAGUCUUAACCAUAAACUAUGCCGACUAGGAAUCGGGCGAUGUUAUUCUCAUGACUCGCCCGGCGCCUUAUG